Molecule: transfer RNA, 73 nt
Filed under: Canis lupus familiaris (dog)
Lineage: Eukaryota; Metazoa; Chordata; Mammalia; Carnivora; Canidae
Also listed under: 3 other names
Rfam family: tRNA
About the family: Transfer RNA (tRNA) molecules are approximately 80 nucleotides in length. Their secondary structure includes four short double-helical elements and three loops (D, anti-codon, and T loops).
Source: Rfam by way of RNAcentral
GCCUAGCUGGCUCAGUUGGUAGAGCAUGUGACUCUUGAUCUCAGGGUUGUGAGUUCAAGCCCCAUGUUGGGUA